GAAGGGCUGAAGUGCAAAAACUGCAAGAUUACAAAAAUGAAUGGAGAUUUACAGUUAGAGCGAGUUCAAGGUAGAGAGAAAAGGGGAAAAAAAAGAUUAGCGCUAGACAUGCCGCAGGAGGAGACGAAAACAAAGGUCCAAAGAGAUGGAAGGGAAAAAAAGGACAAGCCUGUCGAGUUAGGAAACAACAGAUAUAAAUAGUGCAUGAAGCUGAAUGUGCACAGUGUGGAGAAGUAGAACGUGAAAUCACACUUUGAAGUUUAGAGAAGAUCUAUAGGUUCAAGUCACAAAAGCAACCAUGACCUCAGCAGCCCUAUUCCCGAGGCCACCUCUUCUAAUUCCCACAAAGGCAAGGUAAGGCAAGACGAUAAGAAGAUGCUCAAGGCACAGAAGCUGGCGACGCUCAAUGUGGAGGAUCAGCAAGUCAACUCCAAUCCCUCCCCGGAUGACUGAACUCCUCACCUUAUCUCCAAAGGGUGAGCCCAGAGGAAAAAAGCUCAUUUCAGCCUCUGGGAUCCACGAUCUUGUCCUUUUUGGUUAUUACCCAAAAUUUGUCGGAGUGGAAACGUAAAGCAACCGGGAAAUUGAAAGCUUUGCUUUCGGACUCGGCUGGACAAUCCGGUAAAGCGACUGCAUCUACAUGUCAAUCUUACAAUCCGUCGGUCGAAAACCCAACAAAACCUAGGGAUGCUUGGUUUCUCAAAAUUCUCUAAAAUCGAUCUAUUAAAGUAGUCGUCGCUUAAUUAGAAAAUUGAUUAGGUUUCGAUUAAUCGAUUAAUUUUCUCUCUGAGCUUUUUCUGUUUCACACAUUUUAUGUAAUUUAUUUGCUUCAGACUCCAAUAUUUGGCAUAUUUCAAUUGUUGUAUAUAUUUAAAUUUCUUUUUUUAAUACAAAAAAUGAUGCCAAAAAUGGAUGAAAUGUGAAUUAUUAUAACAGUAAAAAAAAAAAUAAACUGAUGAAAGUAAAAGCCGGUUGGCGCGUGUAUUUAGAAUUCUGACAGGACAGCGGAUCUUGUGAAUGGUGAUGUUUUAU
Molecule: long non-coding RNA, 1032 nt
Organism: Syngnathus typhle (broad-nosed pipefish)
Lineage: Eukaryota; Metazoa; Chordata; Actinopteri; Syngnathiformes; Syngnathidae
Exons: 3
Source: RefSeq, a predicted model, not a curated record